AAUAUUUCACAAGGAUUGAAAGCCUGAUGCAGCAAUGCCGCGCGAGUGAUGAAUGCAUUCGUGUCGUAAAUCUCAUUGAUCAGGGAUGAUAAUGACAGUACCUGAAAAACAAGCCACGGCUACGUACGUGCCAGCAGCCGCGGUAAUACGUAGGUGGCGAGCGUUGUCCGGAAUUACUGGGCGUAAAGGAUGCGUAGGUGGAUAUUUAAGUGGGAUGUGACUGCACCGGGCUCAACCCGGGAACUGCAUUCCAAACUGGGUGUCUAAAGUGCAGGAGAGGAAAGCGGAAUUCCUAAUGUAGCGGUGAACUGCGUAGAUAUUAGGAGGAACACCAGUGGCGAAGGCGGCUUUCUGGACUGUAACUAACACUGAGGCAUGAAAGCGUGGGUAGCAAGCAGG
This 399-nucleotide ribosomal RNA is filed under the name uncultured bacterium. Its description in RNAcentral is "partial 16S ribosomal RNA". It matches the Rfam family "Bacterial small subunit ribosomal RNA", at positions 360 to 776 of the family's 1533-position model. The record is from RNAcentral.